Long non-coding RNA from Calidris pugnax (ruff), 292 nucleotides. RefSeq lists it as uncharacterized. The record is from RefSeq and is a predicted model, not a curated record. The transcript has 3 exons. Lineage: Eukaryota; Metazoa; Chordata; Aves; Charadriiformes; Scolopacidae.
CCUAAGAACAUGUCCUAGCGAAGCAGAAACAUUGAUAGGAAUUUCACUCAAUGUCUGAAAACUCAACGUUAAAGAACAUUGCCUCAGCCCCAUCACCUUACGGAGGAGCAGGAGAAUGGAUUCCUCAAGCUCCAAUCUGAGACACUACCUCAUAGCUGGUGGCAGCAAUGGCAUUAAAGAUCCUGCACAGCCAAGACCAGAGGAAAACCCCAUGCCUGAGUGACAGAUGCCACAACCUGAGGACUCUGUGUCUACUUGCAUAAUUGAUCGUACCAUAUAUGCACAAAAGGCC